RNAcentral lists this ribosomal RNA (253 nucleotides) under uncultured bacterium. RNAcentral describes it as "partial 16S ribosomal RNA". It matches the Rfam family "Bacterial small subunit ribosomal RNA", at positions 524 to 776 of the family's 1533-position model. The record is from RNAcentral.
UACGAAGGGGGCUAGCGUUGCUCGGAAUUACUGGGCGUAAAGGGCGCGUAGGCGGCUUUGUAAGUUAGAGGUGAAAGCCCGGGGCUCAACCCCGGAAUUGCCUUUAAGACUGCAUCGCUUGAAUCCAGGAGAGGUGAGUGGAAUUCCGAGUGUAGAGGUGAAAUUCGUAGAUAUUCGGAAGAACACCAGUGGCGAAGGCGGCUCACUGGACUGGUAUUGACGCUGAGGUGCGAAAGCGUGGGGAGCAAACAGG